RNAcentral lists this ribosomal RNA (445 nucleotides) under uncultured bacterium. RNAcentral's name for it is "bacterial SSU rRNA". It matches the Rfam family "Bacterial small subunit ribosomal RNA", at positions 335 to 770 of the family's 1533-position model. The record is from RNAcentral.
ACUCCUACGGGAGGCAGCAGUGGGGAAUAUUGCACAAUGGGCGCAAGCCUGAUGCAGCCAUGCCGCGUGUAUGAAGAAGGCCUUCGGGUUGUAAAGUACUUUCAGCAGUGAGGAAGGCGGGUGCGUUAAUAGCGUAUUCGUUUGACGUUAGCUGCAGAAGAAGCACCGGCUAACUCCGUGCCAGCAGCCGCGGUAAUACGGAGGGUGCGAGCGUUAAUCGGAAUUACUGGGCGUAAAGCGCAUGCAGGUGGUUCGUUAAGUCAGAUGUGAAAGCCCGGGGCUCAACCUCGGAAUUGCAUUUGAAACUGGCGGACUAGAGUACUGUAGAGGGGGGUAGAAUUUCAGGUGUAGCGGUGAAAAUGCGUAGAGAUCUGAAGGAAUACCGGUGGCGAAAGGCGGCCCCUGGACAGAUACUGACACUCAGAUGCGAAAAGCGUGGGGAAGC